Long non-coding RNA from Agrilus planipennis (emerald ash borer), 685 nucleotides. RefSeq lists it as uncharacterized. The record is from RefSeq and is a predicted model, not a curated record. Lineage: Eukaryota; Metazoa; Arthropoda; Insecta; Coleoptera; Buprestidae. The transcript is spliced from 4 exons.
UUGUUCACCGUUCAUGGUUUACUGCUGCUUAUGCAUUGCACUUUCAUAUUUGGUAAAAGAUUUAAAAAUGUAAUAAUACAUGCAAAAUUUAUAUCACUAUACGCCCUGGAAUUACAGCUUUAUCUGUGAUAUAAUUGGGAAUAAUUUUUUUCCAGCCUUUGCCAAACGAAUUUUUACUUCAGCAGUUCAACCUACUGGUACAGUGUCACAGUGGAUUCGCUUUCUAAGUUUUGAAGGACUGUUGUGGAGAGAUUGUCCAUGAAAAGGAAUUCAGUUAAUUUUCGAUGCUAAUGAAGCAACUGAUCCAUUUGACGUAAGGGAGAGAACUGGAAAUUAAUUUGGAAACCACCCAAACAGAUUGUCUGCAGUGGUACUCUCCUAGAUUUGGAUUGCACAUUUCACAUUUGAACGCUACUUCUUCACUUAAGAUUAUCCAAGAAAAGAGAGAGACUUAAAGUCAGCUUGGUCAUACUGAAACCAGCAAUGUCUAGAUGGGUUUCAUCUUUCCUGGAGUAUAUACUUGAUUUGCUGCUUUGUCUUCACCUUGAACCAUUAUGCAGUCAAUUUUCAACCUACGAAUGAGAGCAACUGGAGGUUUCUUUGACUUCUUUUGAAACAACAAAUUUUCUGCUAUGGUAUUCCUCCUGGAUUUGGUUUGCUUUUCACACAUGCAAACUUUGGAAUG